The sequence is a small nucleolar RNA, 144 nucleotides long. Its record names the gene SNORA70. It matches the Rfam family "Small nucleolar RNA SNORA70". Rfam says of the family: snoRNA U70 seems to be exclusive to mammals and is a member of the H/ACA class of snoRNA which contain H (ANANNA) and ACA box motifs. The record is from Ensembl.
AUGGAUAAAUAUAUACAUAGUUCAUAGUUGAUAUUUGAAUGACAGGCUUUGCCCAGUGUGCAAUGGCUGCAAAUAGCAGGCUCCUUGGUAGUGUAUGCAACCUGUUGCCUGUACAGGCUGCCCUAAGGGACCUUGGAGACAACU